This 399-nucleotide ribosomal RNA is filed under the name uncultured bacterium. RNAcentral describes it as "bacterial SSU rRNA". It matches the Rfam family "Bacterial small subunit ribosomal RNA", at positions 357 to 773 of the family's 1533-position model. The record is from RNAcentral.
GGGAAUAUUGGACAACGGGCGAAAGCCUGAUCCAGCCAUGCCGCGUGAGUGAUGAAGGCCCUAGGGUUGUAAAGCUCUUUUACCUGGGAAGAUAAUGACGGUGCCAGGAGAAUAAGCCCCGGCUAACUUCGUGCCAGCAGCCGCGGUAAUACGAAGGGGGCUAGCGUUGUUCGGAAUCACUGGGCGUAAAGCGCACGUAGGCGGAUCUUUAAGUCAGAGGUGAAAUCCCAAGGCUCAACCUUGGAACUGCCUUUGAUACUGGGGAUCUCGAGUCCGGGAGAGGUGAGUGGAACUGCGAGUGUAGAGGUGAAAUUCGUAGAUAUUCGCAAGAACACCAGUGGCGAAGGCGGCUCACUGGCCCGGUACUGACGCUGAGGUGCGAAAGCGUGGGGAGCAAAC